GACGGAGGAUGCAAGUGUUAUCCGGAAUCACUGGGCGUAAAGCGUCUGUAGGUAGUUUAAUAAGUCAACUGUUAAAUCUUGAGGCUCAACCUCAAAAUCGCAGUCGAAACUAUUAGGCUAGAGUAUAGUAGGGGUAAAGGGAAUUUCCAGUGGAGCGGUGAAAUGCGUAGAGAUUGGAAAGAACACCGAUGGCGAAGGCACUUUACUGGGCUAUUACUAACACUCAGAGACGAAAGCUAGGGUAGCAAACGGG
Molecule: ribosomal RNA, 253 nt
Filed under: uncultured bacterium
Lineage: Bacteria
Description: partial 16S ribosomal RNA
Rfam family: Bacterial small subunit ribosomal RNA
Source: RNAcentral